This 2900-nucleotide ribosomal RNA is filed under the name Klebsiella pneumoniae. Its description in RNAcentral is "bacterial LSU rRNA". It matches the Rfam family "Bacterial large subunit ribosomal RNA". Lineage: Bacteria; Pseudomonadati; Pseudomonadota; Gammaproteobacteria; Enterobacterales; Enterobacteriaceae. The record is from RNAcentral.
UUAAGCGACUAAGCGUACACGGUGGAUGCCCUGGCAGUCAGAGGCGAUGAAGGACGUGCUAAUCUGCGAAAAGCGUCGGUAAGGUGAUAUGAACCGUUAUAGCCGGCGAUGUCCGAAUGGGGAAACCCAGUGCAAUUCGUUGCACUAUCGUUAACUGAAUACAUAGGUUAACGAGGCGAACCGGGGGAACUGAAACAUCUAAGUACCCCGAGGAAAAGAAAUCAACCGAGAUUCCCCCAGUAGCGGCGAGCGAACGGGGAGCAGCCCAGAGUCUGAAUCAGCUUGUGUGUUAGUGGAACGGUCUGGAAAGUCCGACGGUACAGGGUGAUAGUCCCGUACACCAAAAUGCACAGGCUGUGAACUCGAAGAGUAGGGCGGGACACGUGGUAUCCUGUCUGAAUAUGGGGGGACCAUCCUCCAAGGCUAAAUACUCCUGACUGACCGAUAGUGAACCAGUACCGUGAGGGAAAGGCGAAAAGAACCCCGGCGAGGGGAGUGAAAAAGAACCUGAAACCGUGUACGUACAAGCAGUGGGAGCACCUUCGGGUGUGACUGCGUACCUUUUGUAUAAUGGGUCAGCGACUUAUAUUCUGUAGCAAGGUUAACCGUAUAGGGGAGCCGCAGGGAAACCGAGUCUUAACUGGGCGUUAAGUUGCAGGGUAUAGACCCGAAACCCGGUGAUCUAGCCAUGGGCAGGUUGAAGGUUGGGUAACACUAACUGGAGGACCGAACCGACUAAUGUUGAAAAAUUAGCGGAUGACUUGUGGCUGGGGGUGAAAGGCCAAUCAAACCGGGAGAUAGCUGGUUCUCCCCGAAAGCUAUUUAGGUAGCGCCUCGUGAACUCAUCUUCGGGGGUAGAGCACUGUUUCGGCUAGGGGGUCAUCCCGACUUACCAACCCGAUGCAAACUACGAAUACCGAAGAAUGUUAUCACGGGAGACACACGGCGGGUGCUAACGUCCGUCGUGAAGAGGGAAACAACCCAGACCGCCAGCUAAGGUCCCAAAGUCAUGGUUAAGUGGGAAACGAUGUGGGAAGGCACAGACAGCCAGGAUGUUGGCUUAGAAGCAGCCAUCAUUUAAAGAAAGCGUAAUAGCUCACUGGUCGAGUCGGCCUGCGCGGAAGAUGUAACGGGGCUAAACCAUGCACCGAAGCUGCGGCAGCGACACUAUGUGUUGUUGGGUAGGGGAGCGUUCUGUAAGCCUGCGAAGGUGUGCUGUGAGGCAUGCUGGAGGUAUCAGAAGUGCGAAUGCUGACAUAAGUAACGAUAAAGCGGGUGAAAAGCCCGCUCGCCGGAAGACCAAGGGUUCCUGUCCAACGUUAAUCGGGGCAGGGUGAGUCGACCCCUAAGGCGAGGCCGAAAGGCGUAGUCGAUGGGAAACAGGUUAAUAUUCCUGUACUUGGUGUUACUGCGAAGGGGGGACGGAGAAGGCUAUGUUAGCCGGGCGACGGUUGUCCCGGUUUAAGCAUGUAGGCUGGUUAUCCAGGCAAAUCCGGAUAAUCAAGGCUGAGGUGUGAUGACGAGGCACUACGGUGCUGAAGUAACAAAUGCCCUGCUUCCAGGAAAAGCCUCUAAGCAUCAGGUAACAUCAAAUCGUACCCCAAACCGACACAGGUGGUCAGGUAGAGAAUACCAAGGCGCUUGAGAGAACUCGGGUGAAGGAACUAGGCAAAAUGGUGCCGUAACUUCGGGAGAAGGCACGCUGGUGUGUAGGUGAAGUCCCUGCGGAUGGAGCUGAGACCAGUCGAAGAUACCAGCUGGCUGCAACUGUUUAUUAAAAACACAGCACUGUGCAAACACGAAAGUGGACGUAUACGGUGUGACGCCUGCCCGGUGCCGGAAGGUUAAUUGAUGGGGUUAUCCGUAAGGAGAAGCUCUUGAUCGAAGCCCCGGUAAACGGCGGCCGUAACUAUAACGGUCCUAAGGUAGCGAAAUUCCUUGUCGGGUAAGUUCCGACCUGCACGAAUGGCGUAAUGAUGGCCAGGCUGUCUCCACCCGAGACUCAGUGAAAUUGAACUCGCUGUGAAGAUGCAGUGUACCCGCGGCAAGACGGAAAGACCCCGUGAACCUUUACUAUAGCUUGACACUGAACAUUGAGCCUUGAUGUGUAGGAUAGGUGGGAGGCUUUGAAGCGUGGACGCCAGUCUGCGUGGAGCCAACCUUGAAAUACCACCCUUUAAUGUUUGAUGUUCUAACGUUGGCCCCUUACCGGGGUUGCGGACAGUGUCUGGUGGGUAGUUUGACUGGGGCGGUCUCCUCCCAAAGCGUAACGGAGGAGUACGAAGGUUAGCUAAUCCUGGUCGGACAUCAGGAGGUUAGUGCAAUGGCAUAAGCUAGCUUGACUGCGAGCGUGACGGCGCGAGCAGGUGCGAAAGCAGGUCAUAGUGAUCCGGUGGUUCUGAAUGGAAGGGCCAUCGCUCAACGGAUAAAAGGUACUCCGGGGAUAACAGGCUGAUACCGCCCAAGAGUUCAUAUCGACGGCGGUGUUUGGCACCUCGAUGUCGGCUCAUCACAUCCUGGGGCUGAAGUAGGUCCCAAGGGUAUGGCUGUUCGCCAUUUAAAGUGGUACGCGAGCUGGGUUUAGAACGUCGUGAGACAGUUCGGUCCCUAUCUGCCGUGGGCGCUGGAGAAUUGAGGGGGGCUGCUCCUAGUACGAGAGGACCGGAGUGGACGCAUCACUGGUGUUCGGGUUGUCAUGCCAAUGGCACUGCCCGGUAGCUAAAUGCGGAAGAGAUAAGUGCUGAAAGCAUCUAAGCACGAAACUUGCCCCGAGAUGAGUUCUCCCUGAGACUUUAAGUCUCCUGAAGGAACGUUGAAGACGACGACGUUGAUAGGCCGGGUGUGUAAGCGCAGCGAUGCGUUGAGCUAACCGGUACUAAUGAACCGUGAGGCUUAACCUU